Molecule: ribosomal RNA, 274 nt
Filed under: uncultured Alcaligenaceae bacterium
Lineage: Bacteria; Pseudomonadati; Pseudomonadota; Betaproteobacteria; Burkholderiales; Alcaligenaceae
Description: partial 16S ribosomal RNA
Rfam family: Bacterial small subunit ribosomal RNA
Source: RNAcentral
CAUUAAGUUUGGCUACGAAAGGGGACGACUCUAAUGAGACUGCCGGUGACAAACCGGAGGAAGGUGGGGAUGACGUCAAGUCCUCAUGGCCCUUAUGGGUAGGGCUUCACACGUCAUACAAUGGUCGGGACAGAGGGUUGCCAACCCGCGAGGGGGGAGCUAAUCCCAUAAACCCGAUCGUAGUCCGGAUUGCAGUCUGCAACUCGACUGCAUGAAGUCGGAAUCGCUAGUAAUCGCGGAUCAGCAUGUCGCGGUGAAUACGUUCCCGGGUCUU